RNAcentral lists this ribosomal RNA (467 nucleotides) under uncultured bacterium. Its description in RNAcentral is "partial 16S ribosomal RNA". It matches the Rfam family "Bacterial small subunit ribosomal RNA", at positions 28 to 507 of the family's 1533-position model. The record is from RNAcentral.
GACGAACGCUGGCGGCGUGCUUAACACAUGCAAGUCGAACGGAAAGGCCCUGCUUUUGUGGGGUGCUCGAGUGGCGAACGGGUGAGUAACACGUGAGUAACCUGCCCUUGACUUUGGGAUAACUUCAGGAAACUGGGGCUAAUACCGGAUAGGAGCUCCUGCUGCAUGGUGGGGGUUGGAAAGUUUCGGCGGUUGGGGAUGGACUCGCGGCUUAUCAGCUUGUUGGUGGGGUAGUGGCUUACCAAGGCUUUGACGGGUAGCCGGCCUGAGAGGGUGACCGGCCACAUUGGGACUGAGAUACGGCCCAGACUCCUGCGGGAGGCAGCAGUGGGGAAUAUUGCACAAUGGGCGGAAGCCUGAUGCAGCAACGCCGCGUGCGGGAUGACGGCCUUCGGGUUGUAAACCGCUUUCGCCUGUGACGAAGCGUGAGUGACGGUAAUGGGUAAAGAAGCACCGGCUACUACGUG